CUCCCCAUAUGGUUUGGAUCAAAAAAUGUUAGGGGUCCUUGUAGCUUAGCCCUACUUCUCGUGCAACUAAGAUCUUCAUGGACCAUUGGCUCACUAAAAAAUAAGCAGCCUUUAGGGAUCCUUAUAGGUUAGCCCCCACUGCUUAGCCAUCGAGAUCUUCACCGAAGAUUGGAAAAAGGGCUAUCAUACUCGAAGUUUCUUUUGGAGGAGUUUGGGAGCCCCAAUAGUUGGCUCUUCAUUGGUCAAAGUUGGUUUAUGAGUCUACUUAU
This 269-nucleotide long non-coding RNA is filed under the name Elaeis guineensis (African oil palm). RNAcentral describes it as "long non-coding RNA (EGUI_LNC045238)". Lineage: Eukaryota; Viridiplantae; Streptophyta; Magnoliopsida; Arecales; Arecaceae. The record is from RNAcentral.